RNAcentral lists this ribosomal RNA (298 nucleotides) under uncultured bacterium. RNAcentral's name for it is "partial 16S ribosomal RNA". It matches the Rfam family "Bacterial small subunit ribosomal RNA", at positions 28 to 351 of the family's 1533-position model. The record is from RNAcentral.
GAUUAACGCUAGCGGUGCGCCUAACACAUGCAAGUCGAGCGCUCCGACGCAAGUCGGAGAGCGGCGAACGGGUGAGUAACACGUUGGUACCUGCCCCGAACUCAGGGAUAACCCGCCGAAAGGCGGGCUAAUACCGGAUGAUCCCGCAAGGGUAAAGUUUUUCGGUUCGGGAGGGGCCUGCGGCCUAUCAGCUAGUUGGUAAGGUAACGGCUUACCAAGGCUACGACGGGUAGCUGGUGUGAGAGCAUGACCAGCCACAAUGGAACUGAGACACGGUCCAUACUCCUACGGGUGGCUG